RNAcentral lists this unclassified non-coding RNA (327 nucleotides) under plant metagenome. RNAcentral describes it as "partial contains 5.8S ribosomal RNA, internal transcribed spacer 2, and large subunit ribosomal RNA". The stretch from base 1 to 105 matches the Rfam family "5.8S ribosomal RNA", at positions 50 to 154 of the family's 154-position model. The record is from RNAcentral.
GAAAUGCGAUACGUAGUGUGAAUUGCAGAAUUCAGUGAAUCAUCGAAUCUUUGAACGCACAUUGCGCCCUUUGGUAUUCCAAAGGGCAUGCCUGUUCGAGCGUCAUUUGUACCCUCAAGCUUUGCUUGGUGUUGGGCGUCUUUUUGUCUCUCCCCUUGUUGGGGGAGACUCGCCUUAAAACGAUUGGCAGCCGACCUACUGGUUUUCGGAGCGCAGCACAAAUUUGCGCCUUCCAAUCCACGGGGCGGCAUCCAGCAAGCCUUUGUUUUCUAUAACAAAUCCACAUUUUGACCUCGGAUCAGGUAGGGAUACCCGCUGAACUUACGC